GAAGCACGCCAGACCGCCGCUGGUGCGCGCUUGAGAAGGCCGCACUGGAGGAACGUCCGGACUGCACAGGGCAGCGUAGCAGCUAACGGCUGUCCACCGUGAGGUGAGGAUCAGAGCAACAGAGACGAGUCCGAGCGGGUGCCGCCACGGAGUGUUCUGUGAGGCGCCAGCGCAAGCUGGCGAGAGGACAGCGAAAGCUGUCCGAACCCGGCGCAAGCCGGGUCCGAACAGCCACCCCGAGCGGGCAACGCCCGCUCGGGGUGAAACGGGCAAUCUCUACGCGCAGCAACACCAAGUAGGCACACGUUGACGGGGCCCCCGGAGUGUGCGGGUAGGUGGCAUCGAGCCGGGUGGGCGACCCCCGGCCCAGAGUAAUGGCGGUCACGCCCGGGCAACCGGGUGCACAGAAUCCGGCUUAUCGGCGCGCUUCACAC
This 434-nucleotide RNase P RNA is filed under the name Alicycliphilus denitrificans K601. RNAcentral describes it as "Bacterial RNase P class A". It matches the Rfam family "Bacterial RNase P class A". Rfam says of the family: Ribonuclease P (RNase P) is a ubiquitous endoribonuclease, found in archaea, bacteria and eukarya as well as chloroplasts and mitochondria. The record is from Rfam by way of RNAcentral. Lineage: Bacteria; Pseudomonadati; Pseudomonadota; Betaproteobacteria; Burkholderiales; Comamonadaceae.